AUUGAACGCUGGCGGCAGGCCUAACACAUGCAAGUCGAACGAGUGGCGGACGGGUGAGUCAUGUCUGGGAAACUGCCUGAUGGAGGGGGAUAACUACUGGAAACGGUAGCUAAUACCGCAUACCAUCAGAUGUGCCCAGAUGGGAUUAGCUUGUUGGUGGGUUAACGGCUCACCAAGGCGACGAUCCCGAGCUGGUCUGAGAGGAUGACCAGCCACACUGGAACGGAGACCCGGUCCAGACUCCUACGGGAGGCAGCAGUGGGGAAGAUUACACAAUGGGCGAAAGCCUGAGGCAGCGAUGGCGCGUGUAUGAUGAAGGCCUUCGGAUUGUAAAGUACUUUCAGCAGGGAGGCGUUACCCGCAGAAGAAGCACCGGCUAACUCCGUGCCAGCAGCCGCGGUAAUUC
Molecule: ribosomal RNA, 406 nt
Filed under: uncultured bacterium
Lineage: Bacteria
Description: partial 16S ribosomal RNA
Rfam family: Bacterial small subunit ribosomal RNA
Source: RNAcentral